Molecule: long non-coding RNA, 164 nt
Organism: Thalassophryne amazonica
Lineage: Eukaryota; Metazoa; Chordata; Actinopteri; Batrachoidiformes; Batrachoididae
Exons: 3
Source: RefSeq, a predicted model, not a curated record
AUUGGAGCAACUUUAACUUUUAACCCCUGUAUGAAGUGAAACUGACCUUUGUCACCAUUUUUGCUGUUUUUAUUUCAUAACUCCAGAACAUUCAGUCAUAGACAGUCCAAACUAUACCUUUUGUGAAUCAUUAUAAUCAGAGAAAUAAUCUGAUAUUCAUGAUU